GCCAGUGUGGUGUAGUGGUUUGAAUGUUGGACUAUGAGUCUGAAGACCAGGGUUCAAAUCCCUGCUCAAGCA
Molecule: transfer RNA, 72 nt
Filed under: Phrynosoma platyrhinos (Desert horned lizard)
Lineage: Eukaryota; Metazoa; Chordata; Lepidosauria; Squamata; Phrynosomatidae
Description: tRNA-OTHER
Rfam family: tRNA
About the family: Transfer RNA (tRNA) molecules are approximately 80 nucleotides in length.
Source: RNAcentral